RNAcentral lists this ribosomal RNA (472 nucleotides) under uncultured organism. Its description in RNAcentral is "partial 16S ribosomal RNA". It matches the Rfam family "Bacterial small subunit ribosomal RNA", at positions 335 to 799 of the family's 1533-position model. The record is from RNAcentral.
ACUCCUACGGGAGGCAGCAGUGGGGAAUUUUGGACAAUGGGCGAAAGCCUAUCCAGCAAUGCCGCGUGUGUGAAGAAGGCCUUCGGGUUGUAAAGCACUUUUGUCCGGAAAGAAAUCCUUGGCUCUAAUACAGUCGGGGGAUGACGGUACCGGAAGAAUAAGCACCGGCUAACUACGUGCCAGCAGCCGCGGUAAUACGUAGGGUGCGAGCGUUAAUCGGAAUUACUGGGCGUAAAGCGUGCGCAGGCGGUUUGCUAAGACCGAUGUGAAAUCCCCGGGCUCAACCUGGGAACUGCAUUGGUGACUGGCAGGCUAGAGUAUGGCAGAGGGGGGUAGAAUUCCACGUGUAGCAGUGAAAUGCGUAGAGAUGUGGAGGAAUACCGAUGGCGAAGGCAGCCCCCUGGGCCAAUACUGACGCUCAUGCACGAAAGCGUGGGGAGCAAACAGGAUUAGAUACCCGUGUAGUCCCAUG